This 253-nucleotide ribosomal RNA is filed under the name uncultured bacterium. RNAcentral describes it as "partial 16S ribosomal RNA". It matches the Rfam family "Bacterial small subunit ribosomal RNA", at positions 524 to 776 of the family's 1533-position model. The record is from RNAcentral.
UACGGGGGGGGCAAGCGUUGUUCGGAUUUACUGGGCGUAAAGGGCGCGUAGGCGGCCUUCUAAGUCGGACGUGAAAUCCCUCGGCUUAACCGAGGAACUGCGUCCGAUACUGAAAGGCUUGAAUCCGGGAGAGGGAUGUGGAAUUCCAGGUGUAGCGGUGAAAUGCGUAGAUAUCUGGAGGAACACCGGUGGCGAAGGCGGCAUCCUGGACCGGUAUUGACGCUGAGGCGCGAAAGCUAGGGGAGCAAACGGG